RNAcentral lists this ribosomal RNA (497 nucleotides) under uncultured bacterium. RNAcentral describes it as "partial 16S ribosomal RNA". It matches the Rfam family "Bacterial small subunit ribosomal RNA", at positions 28 to 507 of the family's 1533-position model. The record is from RNAcentral.
GAUGAACGCUGGCGGCGUGCCUAAUACAUGCAAGUCGAGCGAACAGACGAGGAGCUUGCUCCUUUGACGUUAGCGGCGGACGGGUGAGUAACACGUAGGUAACCUACCUAUAAGACUGGGAUAACUUCGGGAAACCGGAGCUAAUACCGGAUAAUAUUUCGAACCGCAUGGUUCUAUAGUGAAAUAUGGCUUUGCUAUCUCUUAUAGAUGUACCUGCUCCGUAUUAGCUAGUUGGUAAGGUAACGGCUUACCAAGGCAACGAUAAGUAGACGACCUGAGAGGGGGAUAGGCAAAACUGGAACUGAGACACGGACCAGACUCCUACGGGAGGAAGCAGUAGGGAAUGUUCCGAAAUGGGCGAAAGCCUGAAGGAGAAACGCCGCGUGAGUGAUGAAGGUCUUCGGAUCGUAAAACUCUGUUAUUAGGGAAGAACAAAAGUGUAAGUAACUGUGCACGUAUUGACGGUACCUAAUCAGAAAGCAACGGCUAACUACGUG